AAAUUUAUUGAUUUAACAAAUUUUAUGAGAGCAAAAUAAUUUUACAUAUAUUCCAACAAUAUUUUUUAACAAAUUUUUAAAUAUUUUAUUUUAAAUAAAUUUUCUAACUCAAUAUAAUCAUAAUAAAUUUAAAUAUCGAAUUAAUAUUGAUGACCCGUGCGAAUGCACGGGUCUCUAAACUAGUAGAAAAAUAAAAUUCAUACACAUAAAAAUAUAAACGUAUCUAUAGAAACAUAAACAAUAUUAAUAUUAUUGACAAAAAAAAACAAUAUUACUCUUACUAAUAUAAUUAAGUAAUGAAUAAGUAAAAAUAUAAUAAAGUUAAUUACUUUACAAACCGGUUUUGUAAGGUUGAGUUAUAACCCCAAAACUCAAUUCUAAGAUGGUAUCAGAGUCUAUCCACAAUUCGCUGGACCACUUCGUCGGGCCGCCUGCAAUCAGGUUUCUGAUUGGGCCCUCCACCAUUCAUAUCCGCGCCUCAAGCCCAUAGUGCUUGGCGCGAGCGGGAUGUUAAGAAGUCACGCAUCGGUUGUGAUAUGGCUUGAAUAAGUGUUUAUAAACUAGAGCCCAUUGAGUUAGCCUAAAACUCAAUUCUAGUUACAUGGUAGCAUAAAUACGCGCGCGCACACAUAUAUAUUAUAUUAUUGAAAAUAAAUGUACCUGGUAACUUUGAUCAAUGCUCUUUAUUUUGCACUCAUGUGUUAAC
RNAcentral lists this long non-coding RNA (706 nucleotides) under Trifolium pratense (red clover). RNAcentral's name for it is "long non-coding RNA (TPRA_LNC004500)". Lineage: Eukaryota; Viridiplantae; Streptophyta; Magnoliopsida; Fabales; Fabaceae. The record is from RNAcentral.